GCCUAAUACAUGCAAGUCGAGCGAACGGAUUAAGAGCUUGCUCUUAUGAAGUUCGCGGCUGACGGGUCAGUAACACGUGUGUCACCUGCCCAUAAUACUGCGAUAACCCCGGGAAACCGGGGCUCAUCCCGGAUAACAUUUUGAACCGCAUGGUCCGGCAUUGAAAGGCGGCUUCGGCUGUCACUUAUGCAUGGACCCGCGUCGCAUUAGCUAGUUGGUGCGGUAACGGCUCACCUAGGCAACGAUCCGUAGCCGCCCUGCGACGGUGCUCGGCCACACCCGGACUGAGACACGGCCCAGACUCCUCCGGGAGGCAGCAGUAGGGACUCUUCCGCAAUGGACGAAAGCCCGACGGAGCAACGCCGCGUGAGGGAUGAAGGCGCUCGGUGCGUAAAACUCAGU
This 402-nucleotide ribosomal RNA is filed under the name Bacillus cereus. RNAcentral's name for it is "bacterial SSU rRNA". It matches the Rfam family "Bacterial small subunit ribosomal RNA", at positions 46 to 436 of the family's 1533-position model. The record is from RNAcentral. Lineage: Bacteria; Bacillati; Bacillota; Bacilli; Caryophanales; Bacillaceae.